RNA transcript from Choloepus didactylus (southern two-toed sloth), 2865 nucleotides. It is a transcript of the gene named nucleophosmin/nucleoplasmin 2, with no coding region annotated. NCBI's taxonomy places the organism in Eukaryota, Metazoa, Chordata, Mammalia, Pilosa, Megalonychidae. The record is from RefSeq and is a predicted model, not a curated record. The transcript has 6 exons.
AAUCAUUCUGGGCUCCCUGUCUGGAGAUCUCAGUCCUGGGGAACAGGCUCUCUGGCCCUUGGAAAAGGCCCACUCUAGGGCGUGGGAAAGGAAGAAAGGCAAUAAGCAGAUAGGAAGGAGCACUCAGUGCCGCUGCUUCCCUGGGCUGCAAAGCCCCUCGAGGCUGGGUGGGACAGUCUCCCUCCUGCGCGCGCUGAAGAGGCGGCGGCGGCCUCGGUAGCUCCUCUUGGCCAAGCGGUUCUCAGGGUGCAAUCUCGGGACCGGCAUCAUCUCCCUCACCUGGCAACUUGUUAGAAGAGCCACUUCUCUCGGCCCCACCUAGACCUGCCCAAUCAGAAACUCUGCGGGCGGGGCCCAGCAAUCAGUGUUUUAACAAGCCCUGCAGGUGCUUCUGGGGCUCAAAGAGGAGGAAAGAAUGGAAGAACGGAGAGAGGAAAGAAGGGCCUCUUCUUUAAGGCUGAGCAGAAGCCUCCCCGCCUGCCCCCUCCCAGGCUUCAUAACAGCCUGCUGUGGGCUCCCGGGUCCAGGUGGAGCGGGGAGGAGGCUUGGCCAGAGCAAGCGCCUAAGGACAGAGAGCUGAUGGCAUGAUUGGCUGCAAGGACGAGAGGCAGAAAGGUUGAGGGGGGCCAAGACAGGACCAGGGCCUGGGUAACUGGGACCCACGGGCCCCCACCUUUCUUGCUCUCCCCAAGGGUGUAGCCAGAAAAUCCCAUAGGAGCCUUUCCAGCUUGGGGCUGAGCUGGCUUUCAUUCAUUGGAUCCAUACUUCUGUUUUGUGGGUCUCCAGCUCAGAUCGGGGCUGCUCUGCCGGGGGUUCAGUUAGUACUCGUCCUCCAGGAGUUUAAUGAGCCAACUGACCAUGUCCAGCGCCCUCCCCUCCUCGGGUUCCCCAUCUUCACAGCUGUCCCACUCUCCGCAGCUCCAUCCAGCGUCAUGAACCGCAGCAGCAGCACCAGCAGCAGAGAUGAAAAGCCAGUAACCACCGUGCUCUGGGGCUGUGAGCUCAACCAGGAGAAGCGGACCUGGACCUUCCAGCCCCAGGUGGAGGGGAAGCUGGACUGUAAGCUGAUGCUUAGUACGAUUUGCUUGGGGGAGAAAGCCAAAGAGGAGAUGAACCUCGUGGAGAUCCUGCCCCCAGCGAAAGAGGCAGACAAGCAGCAGCUGCCAGUCACCAUCGCCUCGCUCCAGGCCUCCAUCCUGCCCAUGGUGGCCAUAACGGGGCUGGAGCUUUCUCCUCCCAUCACCUUCCAGCUCCGGGCUGGCUCUGGACCCGUGUUCCUCAGCGGCCAGGAAUGCUAUGAUGCUGCAGACCUGCCCUGGGAGGAGGAGGAGGAGGAGGAAGUAGAGGAGGAGGAGGAGGAAGAUGACGAUGAUGAGGAAGAGGUGUCCCUGGAGGAGGAGUCUCCUGUUAAGCAAGUAAAGAGACUGGCACCCCAGAAGCGGACAAGCGUUGCCAAGGUGGGGAGAGGGAUGCGGCUGGCUGCGUGGCAUGCGACCCUCCAGAGGUGCCUCAGAGGAACUGGGCACCAGAAGCCGGGGCCAGGCCUCCCAAGUAGAGUGUGCAGGAUGCACCAAGGCCGCAGGCUGGCCCCCGUCCUCCUGGGGGCCCGGUUGAGGAAACCGUGGGCCCUGCGGUCUGUCCUGGCCCGGGGACCUCACCCUGACUCUCCUAGUAACUCUUGUUUUUGGUUCCUAGAAAAAAAAGCUGGAAAAAGAAGAAGAGGCGGUGAGGUAUCUCUUUCCAUCUAUUAAAUUAGCCCAAACCUUUUAGCUGAGGUAUAUAAUGCUAGAAAGGGUGUGGUGCAGCUGGCGUGUGUACAAGUAUGCACAUAUGUGUGUGGACGUGUAGGUACACACAGGCAUAUGGAUAUGAUGCACUGUGGGUUGGCACACCAUUUUUGAAAAACAUUAAAGUGUUCUUAUCUUCUGACCUAAUUCCACUUCUGGCAAUAUCCUCCGAAGAUUCCCAUCUAAAAUACGGAGGGCGGUGGUAUGUGCACUAGGAAGUUUCACUGCAUUAUUCAAAUCAUAGUAAACAUGGAAGCAAUCUACAUGUCCAGUAUAAUAGUUGAUUACGCCGUAUCUUCUCAAUGGAAUGCCAUAUAAUGUUUAGGGAGGCUACAGCAAUCUGGGAAGGGUUUGUAGAGUUCAAAGAAUAAGCUAUCAAAUCGUUUACAUUUAGUUUCACAUGUUUUCAGAAGUUUGACCUUAAAACAAAACAAAACUCUGACAGGAUAUACACCAAAAUGUUAAUUUUGGUGGCAAGUAAAAAAAAUUAUAAGUAACUUAUUCUCUUGUCUUUUUACUAGAUUUGCACAGUCAUUACUUUUAUAAUAAAUAUGACAUAUUUGGGAUAAAUAAAAGAAAACAAGAGGAAACCGAAGAACAAAAAAACACCUUGUUUAAAAAGUGAGGCAGGGUGGCCCCAGGGGGUAUCUGGUGUAGCAGGAGAUCGGUGGCUGCCAUCCCUCUCUGGUACCCAGAGCUGCUUCCCAGAGCUGUCCAGGGCAGGCCAGGGCUCCUGGGCACCCAGCUGAGCUCUCUCCCUCCCACCCCUAUCCCAUGACACCCCUGCCCCCCCCAUUCCAGAUCCAGUCUUAAAGACAAGAGCCCUGGGCUAAAGGCCAGACCCACAAUCAGAUCUAAAAAACUGAAAUCCAAGAAAUGAGGAGUGGACUGGCAGCGGCAACGGAGGGGGUGGGCCAGUAGACCACCAUGCAAGAUGGGCCCUCUUGGGGGGUGCUGUGGGUGCAGGGUGCCCCCACCCCGGUCCUCCUCCAUCUCUGAGUCUACAGGAAGAGCCUGUCACCCCUGACUCUCCAGUUUUAGCAGGAGAAGAGCCCAGACUUCAAGGGCACAAUAAAGU